UACAGAGGGGGCAAGCGUUAUUCGGAAUUAUUGGGCGUAAAGGGCGCGUAGGCGGCCUGGCAAGUGGAAGGUGAAAUCCCUCGGCUUAACCGAGGAACUGCCCUCCAAACUGCUUGGCUUGAGUCCGGGAGAGGUGAGUGGAAUUCCCAGUGUAGCGGUGAAAUGCGUAGAUAUUGGGAGGAACACCAGUGGCGAAGGCGGCGACCUGGGCCAAUAUUGACGCUGAGGUGCGAAAGCGUGGGGAGCAAACAGG
Molecule: ribosomal RNA, 253 nt
Filed under: uncultured bacterium
Lineage: Bacteria
Description: partial 16S ribosomal RNA
Rfam family: Bacterial small subunit ribosomal RNA
Source: RNAcentral